UGUAAAUAAUUUAGAAGUAGAGGAUGUCACGGAUCUGAGUUUUGGAGAUUUAAAGAAGGUUUAAGUGUGCAAAUGUAACAGGUAUGAAAAUUAUAAUUCGCUUUAAGUAUAGAAUUACACAAAAUAUGUAUUUUAUCUAAUGUGUUAGUAAGUAUACCUGAGGUGUUUGUUAGUAUGUGUCUUUUCCUUUAAAUUUCUAAGGGAGCUCACGCUGUUUAAUUUCCUGUUUUGCGCCCGCCUCUUCCCUUACUGCACUGACUGCGCAUGGGAGAGGUGGGUGUCUGCUAAGCUCCAAUUAAUCUUUAAUCAUCUUUACUUUAUAAAUGACUUUUAAAGCUAGUUUUCAUGUUUAAAUAAUAUUUAUACCUUAAUUUUUCACAUAUAUUUCAUUAUUUUUGUGUCAUCACUUAAAUUGAAGUUUUGAUUGACUUUAGCCUAACUGAAGCAUGUGAAUGCUAAACGCAUUGCACUUUACUUUAACAGAAAAGCUGUAAGGGCGAAGACACACUGUAAAAGCUGUGCUUUUCGAUUUAUUCUCAGAAGGGACCGGAAGAAGAAAUGAAGCUAGGUACUGAGGGACCGGGGAGCAAACAACCAGAUGAGACCAGGAGGGAACCACAAUAGGAGGAAGAGACACAGACACUAAAGAUCAUAGAAAACCAAGACUGAGCUCGACGGAUCUCCGUGGCGCUGAUCUCAUUGUGAACCCACUCCCGAACCAGGAAAAUGCUUGGCCGGUGCUUGGACAACAAAUCAG
This is a non-coding RNA of Danio rerio (zebrafish), 757 nucleotides long. NCBI's taxonomy places the organism in Eukaryota, Metazoa, Chordata, Actinopteri, Cypriniformes, Danionidae. The record is from RefSeq and is a predicted model, not a curated record.